Molecule: long non-coding RNA, 1128 nt
Filed under: Musa acuminata (dwarf banana)
Lineage: Eukaryota; Viridiplantae; Streptophyta; Magnoliopsida; Zingiberales; Musaceae
Description: long non-coding RNA (MACU_LNC010442)
Source: RNAcentral
CAAUACUCUCAAAAUAAAAGAUGGGCUGAUCUAUUAUGCAAAAAGUGAUCAUUUGUUAUAUAAAAUCCAUACUGGUAUGAUAAAAAGAUAGCCAAUCCAUACCAAGUAUAAUAUCAAAACUCCAAAUCUCUAGGAGAACUAAAUCAGCAAAAAGUUCAAGUUCUCCAAUAAAAUCAGACAAGAGUACCAGAUUCAAGUUCGUUAUCAAAGAAUCUCCAAUGAUUGUAUUUACAUAUAUCACAUAAUACAGUGGUCUAGGUUGAAUACCCAAGUGAUAGGCAACAUGUUAUGAAUCAAAUCGUAGAUAGAACCCAUGGUUAAACAAAUAUUUGCAUUCUUUCAUAAACAUGCAUAAUAUCUUCGAUCACUAAUUCAGAAGUUUUAGAAUCAUAUUCAGUGAUAGCAUACACUCUUACAUGGGCUGAUGAUUUAUGUGGCAGUGACUCUAUUUUCUUGUUCAAGGGGCAGUCUUUUAUUUUAUGAUCCAACUUUCCAUAAGCAAAAUAGACUCCAGUCACCCGAAAACACAAACUUGUUUCAUAAUUUAACUUAUAAUUCACACAUGAUUGAGUCUUUUGUGGUGACUUCCUAUUUUAAAUCCAAAUGUCUUAUCCCUCUUGUUAUUACUUUCUGAUUUAUUUCCAAUCAUAUUUUUAUUGGUAAACUUGUCCUUAUCAUUCUUGCCACUAAUCUUCAAAAAUUCUUUUCAUUGUUCCCAUUAAUGAUCAGCCUCUACUUCCAAUAUAAGGUGGCAAAAGAAAUCUUUUGAUCAUCAGAUCAAUUUAGUACAUCAAAUAUCUUUUCUAUUCGCAUCAUCCAUUUUUCUACCACCAACGAAAUUAGGUUCACCACGCUUUCGUUGUACCACUCUGAUUCGAUAUCCCCGAUCAACCCUUUCAUCCCACUUAACUAAUCAGAAACAAUUAAAAUAGGCAGACCAAAUUGCCUCAUCAUCCUUGAUUCCUAAAAUGCAUCAAAGAAAAUUUUCACCAAUCACUGUAGUUCACUAGAUCUCAAUAUAUUUUGCACGUCAACAUAUCAAAUAUUUCAGUAAUCCUCAAACCAUGCUCUGAUACCACCUCUGUCACGCCCCUCAAAAUAUCCAUGAUAUUAAAAAUUUUCAUCACA